Molecule: long non-coding RNA, 1648 nt
Filed under: Onthophagus taurus
Lineage: Eukaryota; Metazoa; Arthropoda; Insecta; Coleoptera; Scarabaeidae
Description: uncharacterized LOC111423238
Source: RNAcentral
ANAUAUUUUCCUCAAUAAUUUAGAAAAAGAAAUUUUAAAUACCAAUAAUCCUAAUAUCUUACUAUGGCGCAGAUACGUCGACGACGUACUAAUCAUCUGGAAUAACAAAGACCUAGACUCAAUUCAUUCUUUCUAUGCCUACAUUAAUAGUUUGCAUAAUGAUAUUAACUUCACAAUGGAAAUUGAAGAAGAUAACAAAUUAAAUUUUCUAGAUCUCACCUUGACUAACAACGCUAAAUUAAUUACUUUCGACAUUUACAGAAAGCCGACGCAGACAGAUUCGGUCAUUCCCAAAAAUUCUUACCACCACAAAAACCAUAAAGCUGCAGCAUUUUGGGCUUUCAUUUACAGAUACUAUAAUACACCUCUUUCAAAAGAAAGCAGAAAUAAAGAAUUAGACAUAAUCCAUAAUAUAGCCAAAAAUAAUGGAUAUACAGAAUCAGACAUUGAAUAUAUCAUAAAAAAAUAUAAUAAAAAACAACAACAUUUAAUUUCAACAAGCUUACAACAAACAAACAUAACUAAAAUCUAUCGCUCAAUAAAUUACCCGGGCAAUAUUGGUUAUUCUAUUCGUAAAACUUUUCUUAAAUAUAAUGUCAACAUUUCAUUUAGUAACAAUAAUACCUUGGGAAAAAUUUUAAUUAAUGCAAAAGAUAAAUUACAAACACUUGAACAGAAUGGUGUAUAUAGAUUAGAGUGCGACACCUGUGGUGCAACAUAUAUUGGAGAGACCGGUAGAUCAUUGAAACAAAGGAUUAAAGAACACAAAAAUAACCAAAAUUCCAACUUUGGUAGACAUAUGAUUAUCCAUAACCACGAAUUUGACAUUAAUAAAAAUUUGACACUACUCCAUAAACAGAAUAAAGGAUUUAAGCUCAACUUAUUAGAAACAUAUGAGAUAGAUAAAUGUCGAACCAAAAAUCAAAAUAUCGAAUGUCUAAACGACCAGAUACACACAUUUAAGACUCCACUCUAUAAAUCCUUGAUAAACCCCUUUCCUAUUCCUUAACCUUAACCUCCCAAAUUGCAGAGGACUUUGUGUAGGUGGUACGUAUACACAAUUUCGCACUUUUUGGGAUCCUUACGACCAAACAUUCCCUUUUCCCUUCCCCCCCCCCCCCUUUCUUCUCCCUAUUUCUCGUUUUAUAUUAUCUCAUUUUGGAAAAUAUUUCAUUUUGAAACUCAUCGACAUUUAGAUCUGUUAAAUGAAAGUAGGAAACACAAUAAUGAACACAUAAUAUAAGAUUAAAUUAAGUUAUUGAUCUUAACAUAGAAUAUAUUUGAUAUGAAUGUGAUUUUGAUUUUUAAAAACCAAUUUAAUUCGUACACAGAGUUCGCAAUAGUGGUACAACCAGUUAGUUACAUCUCUCUUUCUUUCCGUUAUCGAUUAAGAACAAGUUCACGUUACGUUUUAUUUCGACAGCAACAGCAUAGAUGUUAACACCAAAAACAAAUUACAAACAAGAAUUUUAGUUUUACACCCCGAUCUUUGAUUGUAUUCACGUUGAACCUUAAUUUAAAUGUUUCUUCUUAAUUAAAUUUGACGCACGUCUCUGAAGAUGAUAACUUGUUAUCGAAACAUGUAAGACAAAACGAUUAAUAAAUUUAAAACCAGUAAAAAGUACAGUUGAUUUUUCUUUUCAUUUAU